Non-coding RNA from Aegilops tauschii subsp. strangulata, 1168 nucleotides. The record is from RefSeq and is a predicted model, not a curated record. NCBI's taxonomy places the organism in Eukaryota, Viridiplantae, Streptophyta, Magnoliopsida, Poales, Poaceae.
AUGCGUGUCUCAUCCAGGAUCCAGGAAUACGUUAGUUGGGAGCCACCCAGCCUCCUCACCGCUCUUGAUUCCUGGCCGUCGGAUCUGUUGUCUGAUGCGUUCUUGACCAAUUACUGUCUUACCUCGCUGACGUGUGGGGUCGAUCCCCGGUGGGCCGCGCUGGUCAGCGACUAUGUCUACAAAGUGGCGUGUGCGGGCUGCGUCUCUCCCUCGCAUCUCUCUCUCGUGUUGACGCCGCCGCCCCCUCCCCUUCUCUUCGUUGCCCUUCCCUCGCGCCGCCGCCCUCCGAGAAGCAACACGGCCACUACUGCUCCGCGUCGGGCCGAGCUUGCCACCGCCGCCGCUCUCCCCGUCGUGCUCGUCCCUCACCACCGGCCCUCGGGUUGUGGAGGGGCAACAGGCAGCGGUGGAAGAGGAGAUCGACCACCAACCGCUGCCGCCCGUCCUCCUGCUUCGCCAUCAACGGGAGGAGGACCGGAGCGUGUCCUCAAGUUCGUGCUCCUCCGGGAAGAGGGCAAACCGAGAGCCAGGCAACUGUGGGAACAAGGAGAUGAGUUUCGUGGAGACGGUGAGCAGAAUGGAGACAAGGAUGGCGACUUGAUGCUCCUUGGAGACGUCCUCUGGAGGAUCGUUGGUGCGUGCUCCCCCUGUUACACGGCGCUUAGGAGAAGGAGAGGCAUGGUCUCCACCAAAAAACAGACGAGGAAGAAGUGAGAUGCUGCUAGCCCCUUGGCCUGCUGCAUCUCCAAUCGGCGCUUGCAACAGGAGAACCACAUCCCUGGCCUCUCCAUGCCCCCCCGAGCGCCAACCUGUAGGCUACAACGACAAGGUGAGGCGGGCCCCUACUCAGAAAAAACAGGUUCAGGAGGUGUUUAUCCUAUAUAUGAUUCAGUAACUUGCAUUCUAAUCUCAUUUGUCUUCUUCUCAUUGGGCAUGGUGUCUUUAGGUUAUCAAAGGGAAUUGAAUAUGGCUGUUGACAAUUCAGAUUGUGGGCAGCUAAGAGUUUAGAAUUACUCAUGUAAAUUUUUUCUUAUAAAUAAUAUAAUGAUGCAGUAGUAGCCCCUCCUAUCUUUUGUCAACAAUGGUGUGAUACUAAGAUUUUCACUGCAGUAGCAUCCGUAUCCAAUGUAACUCGGCUAUAGGUUAUCCAAAGUAAUGAUGUCUAUUA